GAUGAACGCUGGCGGCGUGCCUAAUACAUGCAAGUCGAGCGAACGGACGAGAAGCUUGCUUCUCUGAUGUUAGCGGCGGACGGGUGAGUAACACGUGGAUAACCUACCUAUAAGACUGGGAUAACUUCGGGAAACCGGAGCUAAUACCGGAUAAUAUUUUGAACCGCAUGGUUCAAAAGUGAAAGACGGUCUUGCUGUCACUUAUAGAUGGAUCCGCGCUGCAUUAGCUAGUUGGUAAGGUAACGGCAUACCAAGGCAACGAUGCAUAGCCGACCUGAGAGGGUGAUCGGCCACACUGGAACUGAGACACGGUCCAGACUCCUACGGGAGGCAGCAGUAGGGAAUCUUCCGCAAUGGGCGAAAGCCUGACGGAGCAACGCCGCGUGAGUGAUGAAGGUCUUCGGAUCGUAAAACUCUGUUAUUAGGGAAGAACAUAUGUGUAAGUAACUGUGCACAUCUUGACGGUACCUAAUCAGAAAGCCACGGCUAACUACGU
Molecule: ribosomal RNA, 496 nt
Filed under: uncultured bacterium
Lineage: Bacteria
Description: partial 16S ribosomal RNA
Rfam family: Bacterial small subunit ribosomal RNA
Source: RNAcentral